This 69-nucleotide transfer RNA is filed under the name Odorrana lungshengensis (Lungshen odorous frog). RNAcentral describes it as "tRNA-Val". It matches the Rfam family "tRNA". From Rfam's summary of the family: Transfer RNA (tRNA) molecules are approximately 80 nucleotides in length. Their secondary structure includes four short double-helical elements and three loops (D, anti-codon, and T loops). Lineage: Eukaryota; Metazoa; Chordata; Amphibia; Anura; Ranidae. The record is from RNAcentral.
CAAAAUGUAGCUUAACAAAAGCCCCCCGCUUACACCGAGGAGUUAUCUGUUCGACCCAGAUUAUUUUGA